RNAcentral lists this ribosomal RNA (459 nucleotides) under uncultured bacterium. RNAcentral describes it as "partial 16S ribosomal RNA". It matches the Rfam family "Bacterial small subunit ribosomal RNA", at positions 338 to 795 of the family's 1533-position model. The record is from RNAcentral.
CCUACGGGCGGCAGCAGUGAGGAAUAUUGGUCAAUGGGCGUAAGCCUGAACCAGCCAAGUCGCGUGAGGGAUGAAGGUUCUAUGGAUCGUAAACCUCUUUUAUAAGGGAAUAAAGUGCGGGACGUGUCCCGUUUUGUAUGUACCUUAUGAAUAAGGAUCGGCUAACUCCGUGCCAGCAGCCGCGGUAAUACGGAGGAUCCGAGCGUUAUCCGGAUUUAUUGGGUUUAAAGGGUGCGUAGGCGGCCUUUAAGUCAGCGGUGAAAGUUUGUGGCGCAACCAUAGAAUUGCCGUUGAAACUGGGAGGCUUGAGUAUGUUUGAGGCAGGCGGAAUGCGUGGUGUAGCGGUGAAAUGCUUAGAUAUCACGCAGAACCCCGAUUGCGAAGGCAGCCUGCCAAGCCAUGACUGACGCUGAUGCACGAAAGCGUGGGGAUCAAACAGGAUUAGAUACCCCAGUAGUC